RNAcentral lists this ribosomal RNA (376 nucleotides) under uncultured bacterium. Its description in RNAcentral is "bacterial SSU rRNA". It matches the Rfam family "Bacterial small subunit ribosomal RNA", at positions 362 to 758 of the family's 1533-position model. The record is from RNAcentral.
UAUUGGACAAUGGGCGAAAGCCUGAUCCAGCCAUGCCGCGUGUGUGAAGAAGGUCUUCGGAUUGUAAAGCACUUUAAGUUGGGAGGAAGGGCAUUAACCUAAUACGUUAGUGUUUUGACGUUACCGACAGAAUAAGCACCGGCUAACUCUGUGCCGGCAGCCGCGGUAAUACAGAGGGUGCAAGCGUUAAUCGGAAUUACUGGGCGAAAGCGCGCGUAGGUGGUUUGUUAAGUUGGAUGUAAAUCCCCGGGCUCAACCUGGGACUGCAUUCAAAACUACUACAGAGAUGGAGAGGGUGGUGAAUUUCCUGUGAGCGGUAAAUGCGAAAAGAAGAACACCAGUGGCAAGCGCCACCUGGCAAUCUGACUGCGUGAGA